This 495-nucleotide ribosomal RNA is filed under the name uncultured bacterium. RNAcentral's name for it is "partial 16S ribosomal RNA". It matches the Rfam family "Bacterial small subunit ribosomal RNA", at positions 28 to 507 of the family's 1533-position model. The record is from RNAcentral.
GACGAACGCUGGCGGCGUGCCUAAUACAUGCAAGUAGAACGCUGAAGGCGGAGCUUGCUUCUCUGGAUGAGUUGCGAACGGGUGAGUAACGCGUAUGUAACCUGCCUGGUAGCGGGGGAUAACUAUUGGAAACGAUAGCUAAUACCGCAUAAUAGUAGAUGUUGCAUAACAUUUGCUUAAAAGUUGCAAUUGCAUCACUACCAGAUGGACCUGCGUUGUAUUAGCUAGUUGGUGGGGUAACGGCUCACCAAGGCGACGAUAGAUAGCCGGCCUGAGAGGGGGGUCGGCCAAACUGGGAAUGAGACACGGCACAGACUCCUGAGGGAGGCAGCAGGAGGGAGUCGGGGGCAAUGGACGAAAGGCGGAACGAGGAAGGCGGCGUGAGGGAAGAAGGAUGUCGGAUCGUAAAGCUCAGUUGUAAGAGAAGAACGAGGGUGAGAGUGGAAAGUUAACACUGUGACGGUAUCUGAACAGAAAGGGACGGCUAACUACGUG